CAAUAGCGUAUAUUAAAGUUGUUGCGGUUAAAAGCUCGUAGUUGGAUUUCUGUCCGAGGCAGCCGGUCCGCACCUGGUGCGUGUAUCAGGUUUGACUAGGGCAUCCUCUUGGGGAACGUUUCUGUGCUUCAUUGCAUGGGACGGAAUUCAAGACUUUUACUUUGAGGAAAUUAGAGUGUUCACGGCAAGCUAUCGCUUUGAAUACAUUAGCAUGGAAUAAUAAUAUAGGGCGUAAGUCUUAUUUUGUUGGUUUCUAGGACAUACGCAAUGAUUAAUAGGGACAAUUGGGGGCAUUCGUAUUAACGCGUCAGAGGUGGAAUUCUUAGAUUGCGUUACGACGAACUACUGCGAAAGCAUUUGCCAAGGAUGUUUUCAUUGAUCAAGAACGAAAGUUGGGGGAUCGAAGAUGAUCAGAUACCAU
RNAcentral lists this ribosomal RNA (421 nucleotides) under uncultured eukaryote. Its description in RNAcentral is "SSU rRNA". It matches the Rfam family "Eukaryotic small subunit ribosomal RNA", at positions 592 to 1018 of the family's 1831-position model. The record is from RNAcentral.